This 253-nucleotide ribosomal RNA is filed under the name uncultured bacterium. Its description in RNAcentral is "partial 16S ribosomal RNA". It matches the Rfam family "Bacterial small subunit ribosomal RNA", at positions 524 to 776 of the family's 1533-position model. The record is from RNAcentral.
UACGGAGGGUGCGAGCGUUAAUCGGAAUUACUGGGCGUAAAGCGCGCGUAGGCGGUUUGAUAAGUCUGAUGUGAAAGCCCUGGGCUUAACCUGGGAACGGCAUUGGAUACUGUCCGACUGGAGUGUGGUAGAGGGGUGUGGAAUUUCCGGUGUAGCAGUGAAAUGCGUAGAGAUCGGAAGGAACACCAGUGGCGAAGGCGGCACCCUGGACCAACACUGACGCUGAGGUGCGAAAGCGUGGGGAGCAAACAGG